AUGAACGCUGGCGGCGUGCCUAAUCCAUGCCAGUCGAGCGGACAGACGAGGAGCUUGCUCCUCUGACGUUAGCGGCGGACGGGUGAGUAACACGUGGAUAACCUACCUAUAAGACUGGGAUAACUUCGGGAAACCGGAGCUAAUACCGGAUAAUAUAUUUAACCGCAUGGUUCAAUAGUGAAAGACGGUUUUGCUGUCACUUAUAGAUGGAUCCGCGCCGCAUUAGCUAGUUGGUAAGGUAACGGCUUACCAAGGCAACGAUGCGUAGCCGACCUGAGAGGGUGAUCGGCCACACUGGAACUGAGACACGGUCCAGACUCCUACGGGAGGCAGCAGUAGGGAAUCUUCCGCAAUGGGCGAAAGCUUGACGGAGCAACGCCGCGUGAGUGAUGAAGGUCUUCGGAUCGUAAAACUCUGUUAUUAGGGAAGAACAAAUGUGUAAGUAACUAUGCACGUCUUGACGGUACCUAAUCAGAAAGCCACGGCUAACUACGUG
This 496-nucleotide ribosomal RNA is filed under the name uncultured bacterium. RNAcentral's name for it is "partial 16S ribosomal RNA". It matches the Rfam family "Bacterial small subunit ribosomal RNA", at positions 29 to 507 of the family's 1533-position model. The record is from RNAcentral.